This is a small nuclear RNA of Pteronotus mesoamericanus, 164 nucleotides long. RefSeq annotates it as U1 spliceosomal RNA. The record is from RefSeq and is a predicted model, not a curated record. Lineage: Eukaryota; Metazoa; Chordata; Mammalia; Chiroptera; Mormoopidae. The transcript has a single exon.
AUACUUGCCUGGCCGGGGAGAUACCAUGGUCACGAAUGUGGUUUUCCCAGGGCGCGGCUUAUAGAUUGCACUCCGGAUGUGUUGACCCCUGCAAGUUCCUCAAAUGUGGGAAACUUGACUGUAUAAUUUGUGGUAUUCAGAGGUUGUGUUUGCCCUCUCCUCUG